GAUGAACGCUGGCGGCGUGCCUAAUACAUGCAAGUCGAACGCAGCAUUCAGGACAGAUUACUUCGGUUUGUAGUUCUUUAUGACUGCGUGGCGGACGGUUGCGUAACGCUUGGGUAACCUGCCUUGGACUGGGGGAUAGCAGCUGGAAACGGCUGGUAAUACCGCAUAAGCUCCCAAUGGUCCAUGACAUGGUGUGAAAAAGUCCGGGGGUAUAAGUUGGACACCCGCCUGAUUUUCUCGUUGGUGUGAUAACAGCCCACCAAGGCGACGAUCAGUAGACGACCUGAGAGAGUGACCGGCCACAUUGGGACUGGGACACAGCCCAGACUCCUACGGGAGGCAGGAAUGGGGAAUAUUGCACAAUGGAGGAAGCGCUGAUGCAGCGCGGCCGCGUGAGUGAAGAAGUAAUUCGUUAUGUAGAGCUCUAUCAGCAGGGAGGAUAGUGACGGUACCUGACUAGAAAGCUCCGGCUAAAUACGUG
This 481-nucleotide ribosomal RNA is filed under the name uncultured bacterium. RNAcentral's name for it is "partial 16S ribosomal RNA". It matches the Rfam family "Bacterial small subunit ribosomal RNA", at positions 28 to 507 of the family's 1533-position model. The record is from RNAcentral.